GAUGAACGCUGGCGGCGUGCCUAAUACAUGCAAGUCGAGCGAACAGACGAGGAGCUUGCUCCUCUGACGUUAGCGGCGGACGGGUGAGUAACACGUGGAUAACCUACCUAUAAGACUGGGAUAACUUCGGGAAACCGGAGCUAAUACCGGAUAACAUGUUGAACCGCAUGGUUCAACAGUGAAAGACGGUCUUGCUGUCACUUAUAGAUGGAUCCGCGCCGCAUUAGCUAGUUGGUAAGGUAACGGCUUACCAAGGCAACGAUGCGUAGCCGACCUGAGAGGGUGAUCGGCCACACUGGAACUGAGGCACGGUCCCGACUCCUACGGGAGGCAGCAGUAGGGAAUCUUCCGCAAUGGGCGAAAGCCUGACGGAGCAACGCCGCGUGAGUGAAGAAGGUCUUCGGAUCGUAAAACUCUGUUAUUAGGGAAGAACAAAUGUGUAAGUAAAUAUGCACGUCUUGACGGUACCUAAUCAGAAAGCCACGGCUAACUACGUG
RNAcentral lists this ribosomal RNA (497 nucleotides) under uncultured bacterium. RNAcentral describes it as "partial 16S ribosomal RNA". It matches the Rfam family "Bacterial small subunit ribosomal RNA", at positions 28 to 507 of the family's 1533-position model. The record is from RNAcentral.